Molecule: ribosomal RNA, 459 nt
Filed under: uncultured bacterium
Lineage: Bacteria
Description: partial 16S ribosomal RNA
Rfam family: Bacterial small subunit ribosomal RNA
Source: RNAcentral
CCACGGGUGGCAGCAGUGAGGAAUAUUGGUCAAUGGGCGCGAGCCUGAACCAGCCACGUAGCGUGAAGGAUGACUGCCCUACGGGUUGUAAACUUCUUUUAUAAAGGAAUAAAGUGAGGCACGUGUGCCUAUUUGUAUGUACUUUAUGAAUAAGGAUCGGCUAACUCCGUGCUAGCAGCCGCGGUAAUACGGAGGAUCCGAGCGUUAUCCGGAUUUAUUGGGUUUAAAGGGAGCGUAGAUGGGUUGUUAAGUCAGUUGUGAAAGUUUGCGGCUCAACCGUAAAAUUGCAAUUGAUACUGGCAGUCUGGAGUACAGUUGAGGUAGGCGGAAUUCGUGGUGUAGCGGGGAAAUGCUUAGAUAGCACGAAGAACUCCGAUUGCGAAGGCAGCUUACUAAACUGCCACUGACAUUGAUGCUCGAAAGUGUGGGUAUCAAACAGGAUUAGAUGCCCGGGUAGUC